UUUACGGGAGGCAGCAGUAGGGAAUUUUCCGCAAUGGGCGAAAGCCUGACGGAGCAAUCUCGCGUGAGGGAUGACGGCCUAUGGGUUGUAAACCUCUUUUUUCAGGGAGGAAUAAAUGACGUGUACCUGAAGAAUAAGCAUCGGCUAACUCCGUGCCAGCAGCCGCGGUAAU
This 172-nucleotide ribosomal RNA is filed under the name uncultured bacterium. RNAcentral's name for it is "partial 16S ribosomal RNA". It matches the Rfam family "Bacterial small subunit ribosomal RNA", at positions 338 to 524 of the family's 1533-position model. The record is from RNAcentral.